CAACUUUUGCAGAUUAUUUUCAGUGAGGACCUUUUUCACAUGUCCUUUUGGAGGGGAUGGGGAUGGAAUCGUGUAUGGUUUAGAUGAUCAUCUUUAAUUGCUCGACUUAUCAUUUUUAAACUGGAAACAAUUGGGAAAUUGUAGCUGUUUCACAUUUUCUUUCA
This is a long non-coding RNA of Lycium ferocissimum, 164 nucleotides long. RefSeq lists it as uncharacterized. Lineage: Eukaryota; Viridiplantae; Streptophyta; Magnoliopsida; Solanales; Solanaceae. The transcript has 2 exons. The record is from RefSeq and is a predicted model, not a curated record.